CCUACGGGAGGCUGCAGUGGGGAAUAUUGCACAAUGGGGGAAACCCUGCUGCAGCGACGCCGCGUGAGUGAGGAAGUAUUUCGGUAUGUAAAGCUCUAUCAGCAGGGAAGAAAAUGACGGUACCUGCAUAAGAAGCCCCGGCUAACUACGUGCCAGCAGCCGCGGUAAUACGUAGGGGGCAAGCGUUAUCCGCAUUUACUAUGUGGAUAGGGAGCGUAGACGGUUAAUCAAGUCAGAAGUGAAAACCCAGGGCUCAACCUUGGGACUGCCUUUGAAACUGAGUAGCUAGAGUGCAGGAGAGGUAAGCGGAAUUCCGAGUGUAGCGGUGAAAUGCUUAGAUAUUAGGAGGAACA
This 353-nucleotide ribosomal RNA is filed under the name uncultured bacterium. RNAcentral describes it as "partial 16S ribosomal RNA". It matches the Rfam family "Bacterial small subunit ribosomal RNA", at positions 338 to 708 of the family's 1533-position model. The record is from RNAcentral.